ACCUUGAGAUGAAUUUCCCUUGA
This 23-nucleotide small nuclear RNA is filed under the name Arabidopsis thaliana (thale cress). RNAcentral's name for it is "snRNA_08366". The record is from RNAcentral. Lineage: Eukaryota; Viridiplantae; Streptophyta; Magnoliopsida; Brassicales; Brassicaceae.